GGGUUGUGAGGUUAAGCGACUAAGCGUACACGGUGGAUGCCCUGGCAGUCAGAGGCGAUGAAGGACGUGCUAAUCUGCGAUAAGCGUCGGUAAGGUGAUAUGAACCGUUAUAACCGGCGAUUUCCGAAUGGGGAAACCCAGUGUGAUUCGUCACACUAUCAUUAACUGAAUCCAUAGGUUAAUGAGGCGAACCGGGGGAACUGAAACAUCUAAGUACCCGAGGAAAAGAAAUCAACCGAGAUUCCCCAGUAGCGGCGAGCGAACGGGGAGCAGCCCAGAGCCUGAAUCAGUGUGUGUGUUAGUGGAAGCGUCUGGAAAGGCGUGCGAUACAGGGUGACAGCCCCGUACACAAAAAUGCACAUAUUGUGAGCUCGAUGAGUAGGGCGGGACACGUGGUAUCCUGUCUGAAUAUGGGGGGACCAUCCUCCAAGGCUAAAUACUCCUGACUGACCGAUAGUGAACCAGUACCGUGAGGGAAAGGCGAAAAGAACCCGGCGAGGGGAGUGAAAAAGAACCUGAAACCGUGUACGUACAAGCAGUGGGAGCACGCUUAGGCGUGUGACUGCGUACCUUUUGUAUAAUGGGUCAGCGACUUAUAUUCUGUAGCAAGGUUAACCGAAUAGGGGAGCCGAAGGGAAACCGAGUCUUAACUGGGCGUUAAGUUGCAGGGUAUAGACCCGAAACCCGGUGAUCUAGCCAUGGGCAGGUUGAAGGUUGGGUAACACUAACUGGAGGACCGAACCGACUAAUGUUGAAAAAUUAGCGGAUGACUUGUGGCUGGGGGUGAAAGGCCAAUCAAACCGGGAGAUAGCUGGUUCUCCCCGAAAGCUAUUUAGGUAGCGCCUCGUGAAUUCAUCUCCGGGGGUAGAGCACUGUUUCGGCAAGGGGGUCAUCCCGACUUACCAACCCGAUGCAAACUGCGAAUACCGGAGAAUGUUAUCACGGGAGACACACGGCGGGUGCUAACGUCCGUCGUGAAGAGGGAAACAACCCAGACCGCCAGCUAAGGUCCCAAAGUCAUGGUUAAGUGGGAAACGAUGUGGGAAGGCCCAGACAGCCAGGAUGUUGGCUUAGAAGCAGCCAUCAUUUAAAGAAAGCGUAAUAGCUCACUGGUCGAGUCGGCCUGCGCGGAAGAUGUAACGGGGCUAAACCAUGCACCGAAGCUGCGGCAGCGGCGCUUAUGCGUUGUUGGGUAGGGGAGCGUUCUGUAAGCCUGCGAAGGUGUGCUGUGAGGCAUGCUGGAGGUAUCAGAAGUGCGAAUGCUGACAUAAGUAACGAUAAAGCGGGUGAAAAGCCCGCUCGCCGGAAGACCAAGGGUUCCUGUCCAACGUUAAUCGGGGCAGGGUGAGUCGACCCCUAAGGCGAGGCCGAAAGGCGUAGUCGAUGGGAAACAGGUUAAUAUUCCUGUACUUGGUGUUACUGCGAAGGGGGACGGAGAAGGCUAUGUUGGCCGGGCGACGGUUGUCCCGGUUUAAGCGUGUAGGCUGGUUUUCCAGGCAAAUCCGGAAAAUCAAGGCUGAGGCGUGAUGACGAGGCACUACGAUGCUGAAGCAACAAAUGCCCUGCUUCCAGGAAAAGCCUCUAAGCAUCAGGUAACAUCAAAUCGUACCCCAAACCGACACAGGUGGUCAGGUAGAGAAUACCAAGGCGCUUGAGAGAACUCGGGUGAAGGAACUAGGCAAAAUGGUGCCGUAACUUCGGGAGAAGGCACGCUGAUAUGUAGGUGAAGUCCCUUGCGGAUGGAGCUGAAAUCAGUCGAAGAUACCAGCUGGCUGCAACUGUUUAUUAAAAACACAGCACUGUGCAAACACGAAAGUGGACGUAUACGGUGUGACGCCUGCCCGGUGCCGGAAGGUUAAUUGAUGGGGUCAGCGCAAGCGAAGCUCUUGAUCGAAGCCCCGGUAAACGGCGGCCGUAACUAUAACGGUCCUAAGGUAGCGAAAUUCCUUGUCGGGUAAGUUCCGACCUGCACGAAUGGCGUAAUGAUGGCCAGGCUGUCUCCACCCGAGACUCAGUGAAAUUGAACUCGCUGUGAAGAUGCAGUGUACCCGCGGCAAGACGGAAAGACCCCGUGAACCUUUACUAUAGCUUGACACUGAACAUUGAGCCUUGAUGUGUAGGAUAGGUGGGAGGCUUUGAAGUGUGGACGCCAGUCUGCAUGGAGCCGACCUUGAAAUACCACCCUUUAAUGUUUGAUGUUCUAACGUUGACCCGUGAUCCGGGUUGCGGACAGUGUCUGGUGGGUAGUUUGACUGGGGCGGUCUCCUCCUAAAGAGUAACGGAGGAGCACGAAGGUUGGCUAAUCCUGGUCGGACAUCAGGAGGUUAGUGCAAUGGCAUAAGCCAGCUUGACUGCGAGCGUGACGGCGCGAGCAGGUGCGAAAGCAGGUCAUAGUGAUCCGGUGGUUCUGAAUGGAAGGGCCAUCGCUCAACGGAUAAAAGGUACUCCGGGGAUAACAGGCUGAUACCGCCCAAGAGUUCAUAUCGACGGCGGUGUUUGGCACCUCGAUGUCGGCUCAUCACAUCCUGGGGCUGAAGUAGGUCCCAAGGGUAUGGCUGUUCGCCAUUUAAAGUGGUACGCGAGCUGGGUUUAGAACGUCGUGAGACAGUUCGGUCCCUAUCUGCCGUGGGCGCUGGAGAACUGAGGGGGGCUGCUCCUAGUACGAGAGGACCGGAGUGGACGCAUCACUGGUGUUCGGGUUGUCAUGCCAAUGGCACUGCCCGGUAGCUAAAUGCGGAAGAGAUAAGUGCUGAAAGCAUCUAAGCACGAAACUUGCCCCGAGAUGAGUUCUCCCUGACUCCUUGAGAGUCCUGAAGGAACGUUGAAGACGACGACGUUGAUAGGCCGGGUGUGUAAGCGCAGCGAUGCGUUGAGCUAACCGGUACUAAUGAACCGUGAGGCUUAACCUUACAACGCCGAAGCUGUU
RNAcentral lists this ribosomal RNA (2926 nucleotides) under Escherichia coli. RNAcentral's name for it is "bacterial LSU rRNA". It matches the Rfam family "Bacterial large subunit ribosomal RNA". Lineage: Bacteria; Pseudomonadati; Pseudomonadota; Gammaproteobacteria; Enterobacterales; Enterobacteriaceae. The record is from RNAcentral.